This 439-nucleotide ribosomal RNA is filed under the name uncultured bacterium. RNAcentral's name for it is "bacterial SSU rRNA". It matches the Rfam family "Bacterial small subunit ribosomal RNA", at positions 28 to 511 of the family's 1533-position model. The record is from RNAcentral.
GACGAACGCUGGCGGCAGGCCUAACACAUGCAAGUCGAGCGAACCCUUCGGGGUUAGCGGCGGACGGGUUAGUAACGCGUGGGAAUAUACCCUUUGGUACGGAAUAGCCUCGGGAAACUGACGAGUAAUACCGUAUGUGCCCUUCGGGGGAAAGAUUUAUCGCCAAAGGAUUAGCCCGCGUUGGAUUAGAUACGUUGGUGGGGUAAUGGCCUACCAAGUCUACGAUCCAUAGCUGGUUUGAGAGGAUGAUCAGCAACACUGGGACUGAGACACGGCCCAGACUCCUACGGGAGGCAGCAGUGGGGAAUCUUAGACAAUGGGCGCAAGCCUGAUCUAGCCAUGCCGCGUGGACGAUGAAGGCCUUAGGGUUGUAAAGUCCUUUCAGAUGGGAAGAUAAUGACGGUACCAUCAGAAGAAGCCCCGGCUAACUCCGUGCCAG